This is a long non-coding RNA of Rosa chinensis, 780 nucleotides long. RefSeq lists it as uncharacterized. Lineage: Eukaryota; Viridiplantae; Streptophyta; Magnoliopsida; Rosales; Rosaceae. The record is from RefSeq and is a predicted model, not a curated record. The transcript is spliced from 3 exons.
UCCGAAAAUCCCAUUUUCCUCCCCAAAUUCGCUCUGUUCUCUCUCCUCCCUACCCGCGUGACCCGACCCGAACCCGGUGUACCGACCCGGUUCGAUCUCCUCCGUCCAACGUCCGCCGACGACGAGACCACUGCAGACGGCUUCGCCUCCUCCUCGCCGUCGUCCCCUUGGUGCUCGAUCACGGCAGCAGCGACCGGAACUUGGAGAUCGGAGCAGCCACAGACCCUAAAACGGAUCCGGCCGGAUUUCACCUAUUCCGGUAUCCCCUUGGCCGAUCCAUUCAAUUUUUGGGAUCGUCUCUUUCCCCUGAUCAUCCUCAUACCUACCAUGUAGGACGAUUUUGCAUGAGGAGUGAUUGAUCAAGGUUUGAAGCUUUUGACGGUUCUGGUUGGAUCUGGGGUCUGAUCAGACGCACGAGAUUGAUCCAACUUCCAAGCUUGAUCUAGGACGAUCUAGACCGAAUCUCACUUAGCUCCAGGUGACUGACGAUUUUGGUUGGGUGGACGGUUGUGAUGGUGAUUUUGUGCUUGUCUUGGUUUGUGUGAAGACGCAGCAGGAUUUGGAGGGGUUAUUGUGCAGGUUAGAAUAUCAGGUGAUCGUUAUCGAAGCUGAGGUGGACUUUCCGUCACGUGGUGUAGAAGGGCGCUUAUUCUUGUAGUCUUCCGCUGUGUAGUGAGUUGGUAAGAGAGGUUGCAUGUUGAAUUGAUAUUCAGUUUAAUUUGUAAACUAUUGUAAUGUAAUAUGCGACUCUAAAGAACGAGUCGGUAUUGACAUUGUGAG